RNAcentral lists this ribosomal RNA (457 nucleotides) under uncultured prokaryote. RNAcentral describes it as "bacterial SSU rRNA". It matches the Rfam family "Bacterial small subunit ribosomal RNA", at positions 342 to 791 of the family's 1533-position model. The record is from RNAcentral.
CGGGGGGCAGCAGUGGGGAAUAUUGGACAAUGGGGGCAACCCUGAUCCAGCAAUGCCGCGUGUGUGAAGAAGGCCUGAGGGUUGUAAAGCACUUUCAGUGGGGAGGAGGGUUACUGGGUUAAGAGCUGAGUAAUUGGACGUUACCCACAGAAGAAGCACCGGCUAACUCCGUGCCAGCAGCCGCGGUAAUACGGAGGGUGCGAGCGUUAAUCGGAAUAACUGGGCGUAAAGGGUGCGUAGGUGGUUUAUUAAGUUGUUGGUGAAAUCUCCGGGCUUAACCUGGGGUUGACGAAUAAAACUGAUGAACUCGAGUAUAGGAGAGGGUAGUGGAAUUUCCGGUGUAGCGGUGAAAUGCGUAGAGAUCGGAAGGAACACCAGUUGCGAAGGCGGCUACCUGGCCUGGUACUGACACUGAGGCACGAAAGCGUGGGGAGCAAACAGGAUUAGAUACCCGAGU